UACGUAGGGUGCAAGCGUUAAUCGGAAUUACUGGGCGUAAAGCGUGCGCAGGCGGUUGGGUAAGACAGAUGUGAAAUUCCCGGGCUCAACCUGGCGAACUGCAUUUGUGACUGCUCGACUAGAGUACGGUAGAGGGGAGUGGAAUUCCGCGUGUAGCAGUGAAAUGCGUAGAUAUGCGGAGGAACACCGAUGGCGAAGGCAGCUCCCUGGGCCUGUACUGACGCUCAUGCACGAAAGCGUGGGGAGCAAACAGG
Molecule: ribosomal RNA, 254 nt
Filed under: uncultured bacterium
Lineage: Bacteria
Description: partial 16S ribosomal RNA
Rfam family: Bacterial small subunit ribosomal RNA
Source: RNAcentral